Molecule: ribosomal RNA, 460 nt
Filed under: uncultured bacterium
Lineage: Bacteria
Description: partial 16S ribosomal RNA
Rfam family: Bacterial small subunit ribosomal RNA
Source: RNAcentral
CCUACGGGAGGCAGCAGUGAGGAAUAUUGGUCAAUGGACGAGAGUCUGAACCAGCCAAGUAGCGUGAAGGAUGACUGCCCUAUGGGUUGUAAACUUCUUUUAUAAAGGAAUAAAACGAGGCACGUGUGCCUUUUUGCAUGUACUUUAUGAAUAAGGAUCGGCUAACUCCGUGCCAGCAGCCGCGGUAAUAAGGAGGAUCCGAGCGUUAUCCGGAUUUCUUGGGUUUAAAGGGAGCGUAGAUGGGUUGUUAAGUCAGUUGUGAAAGUUUGCGGCUCAACCGUAAAAUUGCAAGUGAUACUGGCAGUCUUGAGUACAGUUGAGGUAGGCGGAAUUCGUGGUGUAGCGGUGAAAUGCUUAGAUAUCACGAAGAACCCCGAUUGCGAAGGCAGCUUACUAAACUGUGACUGACAUUGAUGCUCGAAAGUGUGGGUAUCAAACAGGAUUAGAUACCCGUGUAGUC